AGAGUGAACGCUGGCGGUAGGCCUAACACAUGCAAGUCGAACGGCAGCACGGUAAGAGCUUGCUCUUAUGGGUGGCGAGUGGCGGACGGGUGAGGAAUACAUCGGAAUCUACCUUUUGGUGGGGGAUAACGUAGGGAAACUUACGCUAAUACCGCAUACGCCCUUCGGGGGAAAGCCGGGGACCAGCAAUGGCCUGGCGCUGAUAGAUGAGCCGAUGUCGGAUUAGCUAGUUGGUGAGGUAAUGGCGUCACGUAAGGCGACGAUCCGUAGCUGGUCUGAGAGGAUGAUCAGCCACACUGGAACUGAGACACGUCCAGACUCCUACGGGAGCAGCAGUGGGGAAUAGUUGGACAAGUGGGCGCGAAGCCUGAAUCCAGCCUAUACCGGCGU
RNAcentral lists this ribosomal RNA (390 nucleotides) under uncultured soil bacterium. RNAcentral's name for it is "bacterial SSU rRNA". It matches the Rfam family "Bacterial small subunit ribosomal RNA", at positions 26 to 402 of the family's 1533-position model. The record is from RNAcentral.